UGAAAGAGAUUAAAGAUUUAUCGGUGAUGGAUGGGGAUGCGUCUGAUUAGCUUGUUGGCGGGGUAACGGCCCACCAAGGCGACGAUCAGUAGGGGUUCUGAGAGGAAGGUCCCCCACAUUGGAACUGAGACACGGUCCAAACUCCUACGGGAGGCAGCAGUGAGGAAUAUUGGUCAAUGGACGAGAGUCUGAACCAGCCAAGUAGCGUGCAGGAUGACGGCCCUAUGGGUUGUAAACUGCUUUUAUAAGGGAAUAAAGUGAGUCUCGUGAGACUUUUUGCAUGUACCUUAUGAAUAAGGACCGGCUAAUUCCGUGCCAGCAGCCGCGGUAAUACGGAAGGUCCGGGCGUUAUCCGGAUUUAUUGGGUUUAAAGGGAGCGUAGGCCGGAGAUUAAGCGUGUUGUGAAAUGUAGACGCUCAACGUCUGCACUGCAGCGCGAACUGGUUUCCUUGAGUACGCACAAAGUGGGCGGAAUUCGUGGUGUAGCGGUGAAAUGCUUAGAUAUCACGAAGAACUCCGAUUGCGAAGGCAGCUCACUGGAGCGCAACUGACGCUGAAGCUCGAAAGUGCGGGUAUCGAACAGGAUUAGAUACCCUGGUAGUCCGCACGGUAAACGAUGGAUGCCCGCUGUUGGUCUGAAUAGGUCAGCGGCCAAGCGAAAGCAUUAAGCAUCCCACCCGGGGAGUAC
This 688-nucleotide ribosomal RNA is filed under the name uncultured bacterium. RNAcentral's name for it is "bacterial SSU rRNA". It matches the Rfam family "Bacterial small subunit ribosomal RNA", at positions 192 to 883 of the family's 1533-position model. The record is from RNAcentral.